Long non-coding RNA from Triticum aestivum (bread wheat), 3004 nucleotides. RefSeq lists it as uncharacterized. The transcript is spliced from 7 exons. The record is from RefSeq and is a predicted model, not a curated record. Lineage: Eukaryota; Viridiplantae; Streptophyta; Magnoliopsida; Poales; Poaceae.
GGGGAGGACGGGGGCGGCGGAGCAGGGGGAGACUCUAAUACUCUGUAGUAAAUAUUUGUUUUGCUUUGGCAUUUUUCUGAAUGCAUAUUAAAUAUUUCAGCUGAAACGUCAACUCGGGGCUUUGGUGAAUGAGCUUGAAGAAAAAGGCUUUUUCAACACUGCCAAUAAUUCUGCUGAUUGGGAGAAUAAGCUCUUUUCAGAACGUGUAGAUAAAUUCAACAACGAAGUUUUUGCUGGGCAUCACCUCCCCAAAUACUAUGUGUUCAGAGGAAUUAUUGAUUAUCGUUCAAUCUUGAUGCGCAAGGGUAGCUCUCAACAAGCCGCUUUUAGUGAGGUUGUUGAUGAAGUAUGUGACAGGUGGAUUGAAAGUUGCGAAGAGUUUUGGAUGGAGACAAGCUAUCAUGAGCACCUCUUCUAUGAUAUUGUUAGACGACCUCUGGAACAGGUCUUUACAACAGAUACAAUGAGCAGAUAUUGAGGAAAAAGAGGAGUGACAUGACUGGCCCCCUUGUUGACAGCUAAAUUGUUCAUGGUGGUGUCGCCUAAGUGGCAGGCUUAAGAUAGGGCUCAACUGCUUCUCUGAAGAAAAAAAUAGAGAAUUUGGCCGAUGAGUAGUUGAGACCCAGAAGUGUCAUUGCCCUCACUAACAAUCUCAGUCGAGGCAGUAUCAUCCUGCAGCUGCCUGACUUCCUGUCAUGCCUGAGUGGAUAGGGGGAGAUGGAACUCCUCUCUCAGCCCAGUCAUGCCUAAGGACCCCCUCACCAAAGUGUCUUCAUUUGUGCAUAUUAGGAAGCCCUGGAAUAAGCAACUGGCAAAAUUUGAGGCUGCCACAGAUCCUUGCAGAAAAGGGUCGAGGAGCCAUCUGUGAUAUUAACUUUCAAAACACCACGGUACACUUCAGUGAGCUGAAUAAUGUCACGCCACCAAACGGACCCACAAGGGUCGUCAGAAGCAUGAGGAACCUUGUUUUCGUAGUAUGUGGACCAAACCAAAUUCACCCAGGGGACAUCAUGUUUAUUAUAUAAUUUAUGUAUUUCAGGAGAAGGCCCUUAUUUUGAAGUUUGAUAUCCAGAACAACCAAACAUCCCCAGUUUUUCUCGCUGCAGACAAGCUCCCAGGCAGCCAAUGAGCUGUACUUGUCCCCCUGUUCGGUUUUCUUUGUCCAGAGACAUCUACGCCUGAGCUUAUCAAGGUAUUGCAGAAUCCUUGGUGGCAGUGCUCCCCUGAGAGAGCAUUGAUAAGGAGGAAGAGAGCCUGCGCUCCACUCCAUUCCAUGGGCAUGAGAUCAGCCAUGGAUAGUCUUGUGGUCCCAUCGGCAGGCUGAGGUACGUGAAGGGCAUGGAUCUGACAGAGCAUUGAAAGAUCUCUGCUAGAGCACUGCUUUUGUGAGCAGACAAGUUGAUACAAAAUAGAUUUCUGGAAAUCAAUGUUUGGACCAACGGAAGCAGUAUAGUCUAUCAAAAUAUUUUUCAUCGUCACUGUUUGAGCAGGGCAUGCAGGAAACACCAUCAUCGUGUCGUCAGCAUACUGAAUACCAGGGUAGUCUGAAUCUCCCACUGCAGUAAUGGGCAACGACAGAAGAUUUCUUUGGUGAUAAUCAUUGAUCAUUGCCUGAAGCAAGUCGGCUGCCAGCACGAAGAUUAGCGGAGAUAGGGAUCACCCUAGUGAAUACCCCUAAGGCAAUGAAAUUAUUUGCCCGGUACCCCGUUGAGCAGAACCCAAGAAACUCCAGACCCGAAAAUGCGCUUAAUCCACCCUAGCCAGCGGUGAUCAAACUGCAUUGCUUUCAUAAUAUUCAGCAUGGCUGCAUGCUCUAUAGUAUCGAAGGCUUUGGCGAAAUCCAGUUUCAGAAUGAAAGUCCCAUUACCAGAAGCUUGACAUUGGUAAAUAUACGAACUCCCAUCCGAGGCAAUCCUGAAUGGUUCUCCCUUUGAAAAAGCCAUAUUAGUUUCUGUGGGUAAUGUGCAAUAUCAAUCUCUGUAGUUGGUUGGCAAGAACCUUCAUGAUCACUUUGAGGCAACAGUUUAGGAGUGUGCUCGGCCUAUAGUCAUUUGCAGUCUCCGGUGAGGCAGUUUUCGGGAUCCGUGUAAUGUAGCCAGUGUUUAUACUCUGGAGAUUGAGUUUGCCAUCAUAAAAGUGCUCAACUGGUAGAAAUCGUAUCUGACAAUGUGCCAGCCAGAUUUCAGAAACACGCCACUAAACCCGUCAGGCCCCUGUGCCUAUCUGCAGGCAUCACUUGAUCACGCUAUCUAUCUCAUCGCGGUAAAAGGCUCAGAGAGCACCACUGAAGCUCCCAGACAAAUCUGAAGUCCUGACAUUGCAUAUAAAGAGUGUCUGGGAAAUUCCUCACCUCUGGCUAUGCGCCUUGAUCUAAACUCCAUUUUUCAUGGAAUCGAGGGCCUUGAGCAUCCAUUUUGAAAGAUAUUGGAAUUGGAUGGAAGUCGGAUCAUCUGGUUCCUGUUUGUUACUAUCCUAUCUUCUACUGCUUCAGGUCAAACCACCAAGAAGCCAAAACCCCACCACUAUUGUGCAUGCAACUAAACAGAAAUAAAUGGAUUCAUCAUGUCUACGCGGUAGCCUACUGGGUGUAGUAUAGGAUGCUGUAGAGAAGCUUUCCAUCAAUUUAUCAAGAACUUUUAGUGUGAUGGGCCUCAGAGCGACACACUUUUUUAGAGGCUUCGACUGGUUUGUCGUUUAUCACAUUGCUCUAUUUUUUCAGCUAUGUCUGCCAGAUUGUUGAGUUAGACAUAUUGCUGCGCUCUCCUAUUUUCUUAUAUUUGUGAGACUGCAAUUCAUAGGAUACUUGUGUAAAUUUUCUGACCAGACUUCAACAGAUGUUGUAUGUGCUGAUGGCUGUGAGUUGGAGAAUUUGGUCUUUACUUUCUAGGAAAGGAUUUCCUUUCCAUUAUACUCCUGCUGUGAACAUUUAGCUUAAAUUUUGUUACAAUUGUUUUACGGUUUAAGGUCUUCAUAUAACAAUGCUAUUGGAUGUGUUUUCGUGGUA